RNAcentral lists this ribosomal RNA (403 nucleotides) under uncultured bacterium. RNAcentral's name for it is "partial 16S ribosomal RNA". It matches the Rfam family "Bacterial small subunit ribosomal RNA", at positions 28 to 526 of the family's 1533-position model. The record is from RNAcentral.
GACGAACGCUGGCGGCGUGCCUAAUACAUGCAAGUCGAACGCAGUGGGGACGGGUGAGUAACACGUGGGUAACCUCCCAUCAGAGGGGAUAAACCUUGGAAACAGGUGCUAAAACAAUACUGCUGGAUGGACCCGCGUUGCAUUAGCUAGUUGGUGAGGUAACGGCUCGACAAGGCCACGAUGGAUAGCGGACCUGUGAGGUGGAGCGGCCACACUGGGACUGAGACACGGCCCAGACGCCUACGGGAGGCAGCAGUGGGGAAGCUUCGGCAAUGGACGAAAGUCUGACCGAGCAACGCCGCGGGAGUGAAGAAGGUUUUCGGAUCGUAAAACUCUGUUGUUAGAGAAGCGGUAUCUAACCAAAAAGCCACGGCUAACUACGUGCCAGCAGCCGCGGUAAUAC